CCUUCUCCUCCUCCCUUCUCUCCGACGACGAGCGAGCGGCCCUUGUCCUCUCCGACGACGAGCGAGCGGCCCUUGUCCUCUCCGGCGCUGAGCGACGUACGACGGCAAGCUCCUCUCCUCCUCCCUCCUCUCUGGCACCGAGCGACCGUCCGCGUCCUCCUCUCCUCCUUCCUCCUCUGCGGCGCCGACCGGCCGGCCCCAUCUCCCUCCGCCUGAGAAAGAGGUAAUUCAAUAGAUUUUUU
This 242-nucleotide long non-coding RNA is filed under the name Phoenix dactylifera (date palm). RNAcentral's name for it is "long non-coding RNA (PDAC_LNC007848)". The record is from RNAcentral. Lineage: Eukaryota; Viridiplantae; Streptophyta; Magnoliopsida; Arecales; Arecaceae.